CCUACGGGGGGCAGCAGUGAGGAAUAUUGGUCAAUGGGCGCGAGCCUGAACCAGCCAAGUAGCGUGAAGGAUGACUGCCCUACGGGUUGUAAACUUCUUUUAUAAAGGAAUGAAGGGAGGCAAGUGUGCAUUAUUGUCUGUACUUUAUGAAUAAGGAGCGGCUAACUACGUGCCAGCAGCCGCGGUAAUACGGAGGAUCCGAGCGUUAUCCGGAUGGAGUGGGUUUAGAGGGAGCGUAGAUGGGUUGUUAAGUCAGUUGUGAAAGUUUUCGGCUCAACCGUAAAAUUGCAAUUGAUACUGGCAGCCUUGAGUACAGUUGAGGUAGGCGGAAUUAGUGGUGUAGCGGGGAAAUGCUUAGAUAUCACGAAGAACUCCAAUUGCGAAGGCAGCUUACUAACCUGCCACUGACAUUGAUGCUCGAAAGUGUGGGUAUCAAACAGGAUUAGAUACCCGGGUAGUC
This 460-nucleotide ribosomal RNA is filed under the name uncultured bacterium. RNAcentral's name for it is "partial 16S ribosomal RNA". It matches the Rfam family "Bacterial small subunit ribosomal RNA", at positions 338 to 795 of the family's 1533-position model. The record is from RNAcentral.